GCAGAGCUAUUACAAAGUUUAGGAGAAAAGAGUAUCCCGCGGGGGAUAAAGGUUGGUCCCGAAUGGGAUGAAGGCUUGGCUGACUACAGCUUCGUUUGGAAGGCAAAUCUGGCUUUGAGCAGAGUUUUGGCUUGCAGUUGUUUGUUUGUUUGAGUGUUCUUGCUCCUGUCUUCUCUUCUUCCUUUUAUAGACGACUUGACUCGGCUUCCUGUAGCAACAGCUUUGCCCGAAUGCGGUCUGAGGGUGAUGACUCAUCAGCUUUAUUACAUGUAAUGCCACCAUAAAGUACUUUAUGGGCUGUGCAGUCUGAUCAGUCUACACUACUUGGUCCUUGGGUAGGUAGGCAAGUGGCCUUUGUGAUUUGUAUCAAGUCAGAAAAGGCCAUUUCCUGCCUUCCCAAGUUUCGGCUGGGUUUUGAUCUUCUAUUCCUCUAGGCCCCCUUUUGGGCCGACUUCAUCCUUGGGCCUGAAGUUCAGUUUUAAUCCAAACAGUGCCCCCUUCAAUUAAUGUUAAACCUGGAAUUCCAGGCGCCAAUAUUAAUUGAAAGAGAUUCUUUAUUAAACCCACGAAUACCUUGCGAUUGCACUUCUGCGAAAGGAAUCCCUACUUCUCCCCACCACUUUUCUCUGUUGCCCGACAAGGUUGCAUUUUAUCCUCUUUCUUUCUCUAUCUUCACCAAAUGGCUUCAGGAUCCAGCCAAAACCCACCAUCUUAUGAGUCCGGCGAUGGAAUCGCCACCCUACGCCGUCUACUCAACGGGAUGCAUCGUCCGCGGGCAGGUUUACACCCUGAACUAUUCUUCGAGAUGCAUGGGGUACAGUCAUUGGGUCCCGCCUGGAUUUCUCGGGUCCCCUCAGUAGUGGAAGACAACAUGCCUAGGGGAAACUGGUUUACCCCAAAUCCCUAUUUGGCCGGGUCGGGCAUCUCCUCCUCUAAAUGGUCAUUACAUCGUCGAGGCUUUCCCUUGAUGAAUGAUCCUACCUGGGCCCAGUGGGUUGACGAAUUGGAGCCCUUUUUCAAGCAAAAAUGGAUGAGCAACGGUAUUUAUGAAUUACUUGUGCUUUCGAAGACUUCCAUUGUCCCUAAGCCCGAAUUGCUCACUUCUGCUCUCCUCUUUUGGAAUACGGGCACAAAUACCUUUGAUUUUCGUAUGGGUCCCAUGUCUCCCACCAUUCUCGAUAUGGCCCAGGUCUUCUGGUUGAGGCCGUCGGGCAGGACAGUAGAUGUUACUCAAGAUUGGGUUCCGUCUUCUACCACCGGGAGUUCGAGUUCUUCUACCACCUUCCUUCCUCUGAGCUAUAACUCCGCCACUUUCAAGAGUUAUGGGACCUCCUUUAAAGGAUUCAUUCCUUUUGUAAAGGAAAAUUUUGGGGCAGGCUCCCCUCGGGCUAACAAAGAUCAAGAACAUAUGUACUUUCUCCUUUACUGGCUAAACAAGCAUGUCUUCCCCAACAAAUCUAAGGGAGUGAGGGUAGAAUGGAUCCCCUUGGUGAAGGUUCUUCACAAUUUUGAUGAUGUAGCCAUAGGUCCAUUUCUUCUCUCCCAUCUCUAUCACCUUCUUUUCGAAAUGACUCGGGAUGAGCCCUUUGAGACCAACUUGAACGGACCAAUCUGGAUGAUACAACUUUGGCUGCAAUGGUAUUUUCCAGAAUUUCGGGCUGCCAACCUAGAGUUUCCAGAGGGUGUGGCUCCUGCCCGAAUUCUAGCAGAAGCUCCUCCUACAGACCAUUCCACCUUCGCCUGCUUUUACUUUUUCAGAGUCUGCAGGACUCGAUCAGACUUGGAAUGGGGUGCGUCAGUCUUGAGGAGAUACCCUUGGUUCUCUGACCAAGCCUUCCAAGAUGCCCCCGGUGAGGAUGCUACCCCCUUUUGUAGAGAAAAAUUUAUCAGCUGUAUUCAACCAAGAGACUUGGCCUGGGGGGUUCGGGGCAAUAGAUAUGAUCGAAGCCUGGAGGUGUACCAUCCUAACUUCUGCAGCCGGCAGUUAGGAUUUAGGCAAGCUAUACCUGUCCCAUUCUUCGACUCUAUCCAUUAUGGCACCUCAUUCCGGUUACAAACCCCAACUGAAGUGACAUUCCGAGCCGCCCGACGUAGCCUGGAUGUAAUGAGUCAAGCAGCCCGACAUUCCAUUGUUCUUAAUUUUGAAUGCACCUCGUUGUUUUCAUCUUGGUGGGAGGAUAAAUUGACUAGAAAGUAUGGAGGAGAUUUGAAGGUGAAUCACGAUCACAUCUUUAACCAGCUUUCUCUUAAAUCAUAUCCUGGCUCGGGCGAGCUUGCAAAUUGGAAGGAGAUGAUUCAAGAGAAAAACCGGUUACUUCUAAUAGGUACCUCUCUUUCCAUCUGAUUUUGUUUUCCCUCUGAUGUCCAUUUUCCCUCAUAUUUGCUUGAUCCUGCAGCUCCAGUAGAUACAGAAUCUGAAGCCAUUGAAUCGGAGAAUGAUUCUGCUGAUGCUGCAAUUCUUCAUGGUGCUACCACAGAGGCUGAGAGACGAGAAGCUGGGGAGGGGACGGAUAUCUCAGAAUCCAUUGGUGAUUCGGGAGCUGAAUGAACUCCCAGGAUAAUCACUAAAGCCCCCAAGCGAAAGAAAGCAGCCAUGACUAAAUAUUCAAACCCUGAUCCUGCACCUCGUCCAGCAACCAUACGACCAGUUCUUACUCGAAAGAGUAAGCGGGCAAGGAUUACUAUUCCUCUUGAAUCAUCAAUCCCAUCUGCUCCAGUUCCUGAGGCAGGCAGAAAGAAGCAACAAUCAUCAAGUGAGUUUCUUUUUUCUAUUUCAAACUGCUACCUUUCUCCCUUAUCUAAUUGUCCUUUUUAUCGAUCAACAGGACCUCAAGCAUCUAAAAGACCAAUCCUUGCUUCUAAGGAAGAACCUCUAAGAGCUGCUAUGCUUAAAAAGGCCGAAGAAUUGCGAAACACCGUCCUCCGGGAACUCGAGGUAUGACUGAUAUUGUUGCAUAAUUUCUGACUUUCAUACAACUCUAAACUUGAUUAUUCUGACUCAGGCUGCAAGAGAGGAAACGCUCUCUUCGCCCGAGGCCUCUCCACAACCUGCCCGAGAGAAAAAUCUUUCUUCCUCCCAGACCAGUCCUGCUGAGGUACUUCUCUCCCCCUCUUUCUUGGAUCUCUCUCCCAUUUAUGGAUCUAAUGGCUAAGGCCUUUUUCUUCUUCUAUUUUGUCUUCCUAGGCUGGUGCAUCUGCCUCUUUGCCCAGUCAGGGACCUCCUCUGAGAUCCAUGGCCUCUUCCACUGCUCUAGAUGCGACCCCUUCUUCUCAAUUUGAUCCGUCCACAGGAGUGAUGUUACACUUCGUGGAUGAAGAUGAUCCUUUGGUGAGUUAUUAUUUCCUUAUUGAAAUUCUGCACAUUGCUACCCAAUUAACUCCUAUUCAUGUUUUCUGCAGCCGUCUCCAGUGUAUGAGUCACCUCCCUCACUAGUGGUCUCAGAUAAGGAACCCAUAGUUCCUGAGAUCCCUGUUACUUCAGAUGCUGCCAUUUCGCAGGCGUUUGCUUGCCCGAUAGUUGAUGAACCCUCUUCUCCUCCUCCAGAUCAGACUCAGGUACUGGAAUGUUUUCUUCUUGCUCCUUCCUCUGGUGACCCUUUUGCUGAUAAUUACUGCUUUCUUUGGAUAUAUCCAGGAUGCAGGCAUAGGUUCAGGCGCAGCUCCUCCUGCUGGCGGUGAAGAACCUUCUUCCCAACCAAGAGUUAAUACAUUCUCUGGUGAAACCCCGGAGCUGAGUCGGGUAAACUUCUUCUCUCCAGAACCUCAUUUGCUUCAACCUGUAUUUGAAUCAACUUGACCGAGUCUUUUGGUUUUUGUAGCAAGCUUCAAAAGAAACUUCCGCUCUUCCAUUAGCUCGUAAAUCAAAGCGCCCCCUUCCUUAUUCAUCUUCUGGAGGUAUUGGUACCUCCUUCUGGAGUUGAGCAGACUAAGCAGGCAGACAUUACCCCCUCAAUAGGCAUUGUCUCAUCGGAGAGAACUAUCGGGCUAGACCCUCCUCCUUUCUCAUCCUCUGAUCCUGCCAAGCUGCCAAAACUCUUUGAAGCACUCGGGCGACUUAAGACGCGGCUGAAAUCUUCAACGCAGCCUUCAGUAACCUCCAUGUCUUUGGAGCAAAAGCAAAUCUUUCAGGAAUGGGCAAAGAAAGAAUUCACCGCGUCAUUUAGUCUCAAGGCUCUUUGUGAUCUUGAGAAGGUCAUAACCGAAUUUUUCAAAACUGGUCGUUUGUCCAAGCCUCAGCAUGAUUCUUUUUUCUCCUUCUUCGAGAACUUGCAGGCUCUCAGGGAACAAUACCAGAGAGCGGAUAGACAGGCUAACCGGGCAAAAUGCUUCAUGGAGAAAGAAUCAAACUCCUCUACCCAAGUUAAACGGCUGAUGGAAGAAAGCAUGCAGACCAAAGAGAGGGUUAAAGUGGUUUCUUCUGAAAUCCAGAAGCUUGAAGAGCAACUGAUUGCCUUAAAGGCAGAAAGAGCAACUCUUCUAGAUACCCUUGAACACCAAAUCGAAGGGGUAGAAGAAGCGACUUCGGAGCUAGAACAAGCCAAGUCCAAACUUGUAAAUAGCCAUACUAUUUUGGCCGAACCUAGUAGGAUUUUUACCAUCAUGCGAACAUAUCAUUCCAGAGUAAUCACUCUAUGUAAAGAUGUAAAGUUUUUAGAGUAGAAUGAUUUGCGACUCCCUUUUAUAUUGGAAUGGAUAUAUAAUUUGCUUCCUGCUUUGCUCUGUUUGAACUAGCUUCGGGCAACUCUUUGCCUCCUUGUCUACUUGCUUUUCCACCUUUAUUGUUGACAACCUUAGAACCCGCAUCUGGCCCUCUGGUCCCCCUUAUGGCACUCUUACUCAGCUGAUGAUCCCGGCUCCUUAAAAAUAAGGUUGAUCAUAUUUAUAGAAGCUUCCGGGAAAGGUUUAGUAUCCACCAUCAUACUGGCCUGGGGUGAAUCAAGUAGCAGCUUACCCUUCACUAUAAGAUCUUGUACCCAAUCUCUAAACUGGACACAAUUAACUAUAGAAUGGUUGAAGGUAUAAUGCAGCUUGCAAUACUUCUUCCCCCUGAUUUCUUCGGGCUUGGGCAUCUUUUUGGCACUGUCGGGCAAAAUUACUCUCGCCCGCACCAACUCUUCAUAGAUCUCCGGUGCCUUGGUUAAAUCAAACGAAUAGCUCUGAUAUUUUGGGGGCUUCAUGGGGACGAAACCACCAUCAUUCAUCACGAUCUUCUGAUCCUUGACAGGUUGGACUAAUCCUUUGAUCGUCAAUGGUUUGAAGGGUGUGGUCAUUUCAGCAGCACAUACUUCUAUAUUUCUUCCUCAUGACCAUCUUCGUGUUCGGGCCUGGUUUCUCCCACCUCCAUAUGGUGAAUAGUAGCCUUGCUUUUGUAGAAAUGAGGGGCUUUGGAAGUGUGCUUCACUUGCUGUUCCUCUUGCAACAACCUCUCGUACUUCGUGGCAGCAAUCACGAGUUCUUGUAGCUCACUGAACUGUGCAUCAUAAAACCUUUUUCUCAGAGGUAAUUUUAAAGCCAUUUGAGCAAUGGAUAUGAGCUGUGCUUGAUUGACGGGGAAUUGGCAUCUCAUCUUGGUCCUCCUGAACCUCAUCAUGAAGUCUUCCGUGGAUUCAUGAUCGUAUUGUUUUACCUCCACUAGAUCAUUGAUGGUCAAUUCUGGCUCUAUCCUGUAGAACUGUUCAUGAAAAGCCAUCUCCAUUUGCCCCCAGUUGGCAAUAGAGUUGGGGGGUAAUAGAGAAUACCAUUGAGACGCCAAUCCUGCCAACGAAUUUCCAAACAACCUCAAUUUGUAGUUUGGAUUGUCCUCAUACGCCAUACAGUGAUUGGAGAAUUUGAAAAUAUGGUCUCUGGAAGACACACUGUUGUCUUCACCUGUGAAGGUAGGGAAUGCGGGCAUCUUGAAGUUGAGAGGGAAUGGAUUUAGUUCGUCGAUAUGUUCAGGAUACGGCUUCUGGUAAGUAAUCCUGAAUACUGGGCGAGCCCGCGGCUGGGCGUUUUGAGUCACCGUCCUUCUUAACUCAGCCAACUCCUCCCUUAGUUGCUGAGUGGCUAAAUUAUCAUUAUAACCGAGGAUAGCUGAUCCAAUCUUCGGGCUCCGGUCAUUGCCCGCAUUUGCUUCUCUCCUUGGUUCGGGCCUUCUCCAGUUAGAUCCUCCACCUUUAUUGACCAUCGGGGGUGGUCUAUAGGGUGGAGGUUUAUCUGACGCAGUAGUGGUAGUAGUAGUGGUAGUUUCCUUUCCACUAGUUUCUCCCAUCAUACCUGGCAUUCCGUACCUCAUCAUUUCCUGUUCGUUCUGCCCCCUUUUAUUAAAUGAUAAUAAUGGGAAACUAGGAAACCCUUUUUCCAGGAUCGGCUCCAUCACUGGUUGACUUCCCUCAGGAAUUACUUUUUUCUUUCCCUUAUCUCCUGUUUCUUCUAUUAGUGGAAAUAAGGGAAUGAUUGGCUCAUCUCUCGUGAUAACCUGGCUCAUUCCACUUCCUUGAGCACCCUUUGGAGUAGAGAACUCCAAAUCAAGCCUUCUUUGUAGAUUCCCUGUAAGCAUACAAAGUCUGCUUACUUCUCCCUUUGUUUCUAGGGAGAUCAUUUCCAUGCUUUUUAACACUUGGAUCAUUGUAGCUUGUAAUUCUUCAUUGCUUCCCUUUCCUUGUGAUCUUUCAGAUGCAGUCGGGCUAUCUGGAACCACCUGUCCGGAUGGGGAAGAAGGAUUUUCUGAUUGUCCUGCCAUUUGGAGAAGACCUUCCUUAGGAUUCCUUUUAUCGAGUUUAUGGUUCUUCUUUUUGGACAUGCAAGAUCUGGAAGCCUUUGUCCCACUGGGCGUGCCAAAACUAUGUUCGUGGCAGGAAUUUCCGCUGGGGAUGUUUCCUAGCCGACGAGCACACAGCUCCCCUGGAGGUUGGCGCCGGUUGAGGGCUGCUGUCGGGCUUCUGCUUCAUUUCUGGGCGUUGUCGGGCAAGUCUUGUCGGGCAAGACUCUUCGGGCAAGGCUCUUCGGGCAAGGCUGAAAGAGAAGGACAGCGUUAACUUUGAGAGGUGCCUUUGUGGGGCCUUAGGUGUAGGCCUUGAGGCUCACAAUCAAGGUUAACAUUUAGGUGCUCAGGCGUGCCACUGCCAUCUUUAGCAUGGCAGAUGUAAAAUGGUUGUCGUUCUUUCAUUGUAUAUAUAUAUAUAUAUGUAUCCAAGAAACCGUGUUAGUUACAACAGGUGCCUUUGUGGGGCCUUAAAUGUAGGCCUUGAGGCUUCCCAUCAAUAACUAAACCAGUGCUCGAACACAUAAUAUUUAUUUUUGUGAUUGUAGGAGUCUUCUAACUAUUAUAUUUCUGAUUACCCGGAUCCAAGGAAUAGAACGAACCCAAAUGGGUGCCUUUGUGGGGCCUUAGGUGUAGGCCUUGAGGCUUCCCAUCAGAGUUCAUUCUUAUGCUUAGACUCUUAAGAUCGCUGAAUAGGAUGAAUCCAAAUGGAUGCCUUUGUGAGGCCUUAGGUGUAGGCCUUGAGGCUUUCCAUUAGAGUUCAUCCCAUACUUAAGCAUUCUAUGAUAAUCAUGAUAUAAUAGAAAGAAAACUAGAAGGUAGGUCGAUUACUUUCGCCCCAAGUAACUUCGGACUUCUCGUUUAUCAAGGAUUGUCGUGGAUGGGUUAAGUCCACAUAAAGUUCUUUUUUAUGCCUUGAGGCCAAGGACUUUUAAACUAAUCAGAUUUACAUGCCUGUGGGCUUAAGACUUGGAUCUGAUUUAAGCAUCGAAGAUAUAUUUAAAUCGGAUCCAAGUAUUGAGAAAGCUUUGUCAUAGUGAUUUUGCUAGGAACAGACUUGCAUAUACUAAUAAUAUACAACAUAUUGCUAGACUUUAAAGAAAGAGAAGACAAAGACAGAACAAAGCAGGUCGGGCAAGAUUAAACCUUAUCAAUUAAGGUUGAUCGUCUUGCAGGUCCCUAUCUUUAUGGUUCUGUCACAGGUCUGGAAGCUUAGAGGUGGAGAGGGGAAGAAGAAUACAAAAGGGUGAAUCGAUACUACAACAAGUUAGAGCAGGGUAGCAGAGCUAUUACAAAGUUUAGGAGAAAAGAGUAUCCCGCGGGGGAUAAAGGUUGGUCCCGAAUGGGAUGAAGGCUUGGCUGACUACAGCUUCGUUUGGAAGGCAAAUCUGGCUUUGAGCAGAGUUUUGGCUUGCAGUUGUUUGUUUGUUUGAGUGUCCUUGCUCCUGUCUUCUCUUCUUCCUUUUAUAGACGACUUGACUCGGCUUCCUGUAGCAACAGCUUUGCCCGAAUGCGG
RNAcentral lists this long non-coding RNA (8258 nucleotides) under Malus domestica (apple). Its description in RNAcentral is "long non-coding RNA (MDOM_LNC011160)". Lineage: Eukaryota; Viridiplantae; Streptophyta; Magnoliopsida; Rosales; Rosaceae. The record is from RNAcentral.